RNAcentral lists this ribosomal RNA (607 nucleotides) under Lithophyllon undulatum. Its description in RNAcentral is "eukaryotic LSU rRNA". The stretch from base 239 to 392 matches the Rfam family "5.8S ribosomal RNA". Lineage: Eukaryota; Metazoa; Cnidaria; Anthozoa; Scleractinia; Fungiidae. The record is from RNAcentral.
GGUUUCCGUAGGUGAACCUGCGGAAGGAUCAUUACCGAUGUAAUCCAAAGGCACGACUCCGUCGUGACUACCGUGUGAACCGUACCAAACUAUUCAGGGGUCGGUCAGUCCGUUAAAUGGCGGUCGGACGCGUGCAUUGCGCGCGGCCGCUCCGCCAGCCCCGCCUGUGUUUUUUAACAUACGUGUCUUGUCUGAAAACGUGACCACUGCCGUGGUCCAGAGCAAAAAAGAGAGAGACAACUUUUGACGGUGGAUCUCUUGGCUCACGCAUCGAUGAAGAACGCAGCCAGCUGCGAUAAGUAGUGUGAAUUGCAGAAUUCAGUGAAUCAUCGAAUCUUUGAACGCAAAUGGCGCUCUUGGGUUCUCCCAGGAGCAUGUCUGUCUGAGUGUCGGAUAUCAUCCAACGCACCUAGCCGUGCGGCGUUGAGGCGUCACGGCCCUCCUGCCGGCCGUGUCCCUUGAAAGUCAGCGAGACUCGCCGCGGCACGGGUUCGUACCCUGCACACUCGCGGAGGCUAAAAACGCUUUUGCCCUUCGCGUGCACGGGAGCGGCCCGCCCGCCGAGUCGCGGAGGCGAAAUAUGUUCUACUCUUGACCUCAGAUCAGG